RNAcentral lists this ribosomal RNA (767 nucleotides) under Vibrio sp. xn3. RNAcentral's name for it is "bacterial SSU rRNA". It matches the Rfam family "Bacterial small subunit ribosomal RNA", at positions 391 to 1156 of the family's 1533-position model. Lineage: Bacteria; Pseudomonadati; Pseudomonadota; Gammaproteobacteria; Vibrionales; Vibrionaceae. The record is from RNAcentral.
GUCAUGCCGCGUGUGUGAGAAGCGUCGGGUGUAAAGCACUUCAGUCGUGAGGAAGGUGGUGUCGUUAAUAGCGCAUCAUUUGACGUUAGCGACAGAAGAAGCACCGGCUAACUCCGUGCCAGCAGCCGCGGUAAUACGGAGGGUGCGAGCGUUAAUCGGAAUUACUGGGCGUAAAGCGCAUGCAGGUGGUUUGUUAAGUCAGAUGUGAAAGCCCGGGGCUCAACCUCGGAAUAGCAUUUGAAACUGGCAGACUAGAGUACUGUAGAGGGGGGUAGAAUUUCAGGUGUAGCGGUGAAAUGCGUAGAGAUCUGAAGGAAUACCGGUGGCGAAGGCGGCCCCCUGGACAGAUACUGACACUCAGAUGCGAAAGCGUGGGGAGCAAACAGGAUUAGAUACCCUGGUAGUCCACGCCGUAAACGAUGUCUACUUGGAGGUUGUGGCCUUGAGCCGUGGCUUUCGGAGCUAACGCGUUAAGUAGACCGCCUGGGGAGUACGGUCGCAAGAUUAAAACUCAAAUGAAUUGACGGGGGCCCGCACAAGCGGUGGAGCAUGUGGUUUAAUUCGAUGCAACGCGAAGAACCUUACCUACUCUUGACAUCCAGAGAACUUUCCAGAGAUGGAUUGGUGCCUUCGGGAACUCUGAGACAGGUGCUGCAUGGCUGUCGUCAGCUCGUGUUGUGAAAUGUUGGGUUAAGUCCCGCAACGAGCGCAACCCUUAUCCUUGUUUGCCAGCGAGUAAUGUCGGGAACUCCAGGGAGACUGCCGGU